RNAcentral lists this ribosomal RNA (446 nucleotides) under uncultured bacterium. Its description in RNAcentral is "partial 16S ribosomal RNA". It matches the Rfam family "Bacterial small subunit ribosomal RNA", at positions 29 to 523 of the family's 1533-position model. The record is from RNAcentral.
AGCGAACGCUGGCGGCAGGCCUAACACAUGCAAGUCGAGCACCCAGCAAUGGGAGCGGCAGACGGGUGAGUAACGCGUGGGGAUGUGCCCAAUGGUGCGGAAUAACCCAGGGAAACUUGGAUUAAUACCGCAUGUGCCCUUCGGGGGAAAGAUUUAUCGCCAUUGGAUCAACCCGCGUCUGAUUAGCUAGUUGGUGAGGUAAAGGCUCACCAAGGCGACGAUCAGUAGCUGGUCUGAGAGGAUGAUCAGCCACACUGGGACUGAGACACGGCCCAGACUCCUACGGGAGGCAGCAGUGGGGAAUAUUGGACAAUGGGCGCAAGCCUGAUCCAGCCAUGCCGCGUGAGUGAUGAAGGCCUUAGGGUUGUAAAGCUCUUUCGCCGGGAAGAUAAUGACGGUAACCGGAGAAGAAGCCCCGGCUAACUUCGUGCCAGCCGCCGCAGUAA